CAGUUAAGUAGUUUGUAUAAAGAAUAUAAGCUUUGGGUCUUGAGGACCUGUUUAUUUAAGUAGGCUUACUGAA
Molecule: transfer RNA, 73 nt
Filed under: Schistosoma haematobium
Lineage: Eukaryota; Metazoa; Platyhelminthes; Trematoda; Strigeidida; Schistosomatidae
Description: tRNA-Pro
Source: RNAcentral